This 461-nucleotide ribosomal RNA is filed under the name uncultured bacterium. Its description in RNAcentral is "SSU rRNA". It matches the Rfam family "Bacterial small subunit ribosomal RNA", at positions 26 to 518 of the family's 1533-position model. The record is from RNAcentral.
AGAAUCAACGCUGGCGGCGUGCCUAACACAUGCAAGUCGAACGAGAAAGUGGAGCAAUCCAUGAGUAAAGUGGCGACCGGGUGAGUAACACGUGACUAACCUACCUUCGAGUGGGGGAUAACCUCGGGAAAACCGAGGCUAAUACCGCAUAACAUCGCAAGAUCAAAGCAGCAAUGCGCUGGAAGAGGGGGUCGCGGCUGAUUAGCUAGUUGGCGGGGUAACGGCCCACCAAGGCGAAGAUCGGUAGCCGGCCUGAGAGGGCGCACGGCCACACUGGAACUGAAACACGGUCCAGACUCCUACGGGAGGCAGCAGUGGGGAAUUUUGCGCAAUGGGGGAAACCCUGACGCAGCAACGCCGCGUGGAGGAUGAAGCCCCUUGGGGCGUAAACUCCUUUCGACCAAGACGAUAAUGACGGUACUGGUGGAAGAAGCACCGGCUAACUCUGCGCCAGCAGCCGC